AGAAAGAAGCCUUUCCGCCUUCCUACUCUGUAACCCUGCUUUUCGUUUCCUGUGUGUCCUUUCAGAGCUCCUUUUGCUUUCAAAAGCAAAUACAAAUACGGGCAGCUUCUGAAUGGAUGGCCAAGUGACUCUGGAGCUUCCGCGCUGUGUGAGGGCUGGGCUUUCUGUCCCUGUUCACCCUCGAACCCAGGCUUCAGCCACCGCACGGGAGAAGAUGGUUCAGACCACACCUCUACCCUGACUCAGCACACACAGCUGUACCGUCAGGGGCUGCAAACCAACAUCUCUCAGGGCCUUCCUGGAAGCUGCGGCUGGACUCCCCUUGUACUCCAGGGGAGCAUCCCUGGAGGCCCAGGUCGGGGCUCCUGGAGGGUCCCUGGGUUCUGGGGGACAGAAGAACAGGGAGGAAGAAUCCAGAUGUGGCUCACUGGGCUCUGUGGAUCUGGCACUGGAACAGCUGUCCAGGCUUUGGGGCCCCCGACACCCCUGCUGCUCUCCCUCAGGCCCCAGAUCUGCUUGGGCCCCCAGUGGGCAACCGCUCGGUGCUGGCCCACCACAGGGAAAUAUUCCGGUGGAGGGGGAUCUGAGACUGCCUUGGCCAAUAGAAUGCAGCCAAUGUGGUGCUAUGCGUCUGCCUGGCCUCGGCCUUGAGAGACCUGGGAGCUUCCAUUUAUGUCAUCUUGGAGUGCUGAGUUACCUUAAAGAAGUCUAAAACUCAG
Molecule: long non-coding RNA, 719 nt
Filed under: Homo sapiens (human)
Lineage: Eukaryota; Metazoa; Chordata; Mammalia; Primates; Hominidae
Description: non-protein coding lnc-HMG20A-2:2
Source: RNAcentral